CCUACGGGAGACUGCAGUGAGGAAUAUUGGUCAAUGGACGGAAGUCUGAACCAGCCAUGCCGCGUGCAGGAAGACGGCCCUAUGAGUUGUAAACUGCUUUUGUACAAGGGUAAACCUGAAUACGUGUAUUCAGCUGAAAGUACUGUACGAAUAAGGAUCGGCUAACUCCGUGCCAGCAGCCGCGGUAAUACGGAGGAUCCAAGCGUUAUCCGGAUUUAUUGGGUUUAAAGGGUGCGUAGGCGGAUUGAUAAGUUAGAUGUGAAAUGUCCGAGCUUAACUCGGGAACUGCCUCUAAUACUGUUGAGCUAGAGGGUAGGUGCGGGAGGGGGAAUUUAUGGUGUAGCAGUGAAAUGCUUAGAGA
RNAcentral lists this ribosomal RNA (361 nucleotides) under uncultured bacterium. Its description in RNAcentral is "partial 16S ribosomal RNA". It matches the Rfam family "Bacterial small subunit ribosomal RNA", at positions 338 to 696 of the family's 1533-position model. The record is from RNAcentral.